This 83-nucleotide small RNA is filed under the name Roseibaca calidilacus. RNAcentral describes it as "SuhB". The record is from RNAcentral. Lineage: Bacteria; Pseudomonadati; Pseudomonadota; Alphaproteobacteria; Rhodobacterales; Paracoccaceae.
UGCUGCAACCAUCCUGCCGGGCAUGUGUUUUCCUCCCUGUCAGACUGGCCGCGCCCUUGGGUGCGGCCUUUUUUUCAAGUACG